CAGAAGAGGAAUUUUCAUUUUCCCUCUCUCGACCGCCCUUUUCUUCCUCUCCCUUCCCUCUUUCGAGCGCCAUUUUCAUCGUCAGUCGAUCGCCCUUCGAUUGCCCUUCUGCCUUGCCAUGGCGUGAUGAUUCAGACCGUUCAUCCAGAAGCUCGUAUACAGAUUUCAUGCUAAGCAUGGCAUUGCUAGGUGCAAUUUUUGGAGCUGCCUUAGGGGGUUGGACUAAUGAUGUUUAUGGGAAUAAGAAAGCUACCCUCACCUGAGCAAGUGAAUGCAGGAUGGCUGCAUUUUAUGCUGGUUUCCCUGAAACUGUGCCUAUUAGAACUGUAAACUGGCAAUGCUCAUCUGAACUGAUGGUGGGAUUGAGGCCUACAUAGUAGCUACGAUGCAGGGCCUUGCAUUAUAUCAAAAUCGAAGAAAGGGUUGUACCACUGGGCCAGUUGGAUGUGAUAAGGUAUUUUGAGUUAAACCUAAAUAUGGGUGUUGUGAAUUUUCAAAAUAAAAGGAUUAUUUUGUCUCUUGGUUGUGUCUUCUGUUGACUCCUGGUUGUGUCUCAUGGUGCCUUUUAGCUACUAGUUAGUCUUUUAGUGAAUAAUGUGAUGGAAAGUUAAAACCAAAUCAAGAGACGCUAUGAAAGGACAUGUAAUUAUGGGUCUGUAAUUGAGACUGUUUUUGUAAAAUCGAAUGCACUCGAUUUUUGGCUUUUGUUUUUCAUUUUCUGAGUUCAGGUUGGUAUAUGACAUAUUAGAGCAGAUAUUUUGGUUUUCAUGUAACUUAUACUUUUUUCUGGAGUCAAAUGAAUGCAAUUUCAGGGUUUUCCCACAGUUCUUGAGUUCAGAUUGGUAUUUUUGAGCUCCUGAUGUCUUAUUCUUGCACUUAAAAAAAAAAAAAAAAAACACAAAUCAGAGUACAAAUUG
This is a long non-coding RNA of Magnolia sinica, 917 nucleotides long. RefSeq lists it as uncharacterized. The transcript is spliced from 3 exons. Lineage: Eukaryota; Viridiplantae; Streptophyta; Magnoliopsida; Magnoliales; Magnoliaceae. The record is from RefSeq and is a predicted model, not a curated record.